GGUUAAGCGACUAAGCGUACACGGUGGAUGCCCUGGCAGUCAGAGGCGAUGAAGGGCGUGCUAAUCUGCGAUAAGCGCCGGUAAGGUGAUAUGAACCGUUAUAACCGGCGAUACCCGAAUGGGGAAACCCAGUGUGAUUCGUCACACUAUCAUUAACUGAAUCCAUAGGUUAAUGAGGCGAACCGGGGGAACUGAAACAUCUAAGUACCCCGAGGAAAAGAAAUCAACCGAGAUUCCCCCAGUAGCGGCGAGCGAACGGGGAGGAGCCCAGAGCCUGAAUCAGCAUGUGUGUUAGUGGAAGCGUCUGGAAAGGCGCGCGAUACAGGGUGACAGCCCCGUACACAAAAGCGCAUAUGCUGUGAGCUCGAUGAGUAGGGCGGGACACGUGGUAUCCUGUCUGAAUAUGGGGGGACCAUCCUCCAAGGCUAAAUACUCCUGACUGACCGAUAGUGAACCAGUACCGUGAGGGAAAGGCGAAAAGAACCCCGGCGAGGGGAGUGAAAAAGAACCUGAAACCGUGUACGUACAAGCAGUGGGAGCCCCACCACUAAGCCAGUGGUGAACUCCACAUACGCAUCCUUUGCUGAGGAGACGGUUAACGGAGCGAAAGCGACGUUCAACCUCAAAAGAAGCAGAGGGGGCUUAGUGGUGGGGUGACUGCGUACCUUUUGUAUAAUGGGUCAGCGACUUAUAUUCUGUAGCAAGGUUAACUGUAUAGGGGAGCCGGAGGGAAACCGAGUCUUAACCGGGCGUUAAGUUGCAGGGUAUAGACCCGAAACCCGGUGA
This 786-nucleotide ribosomal RNA is filed under the name Salmonella enterica subsp. enterica serovar Typhi. RNAcentral describes it as "partial 23S ribosomal RNA". It matches the Rfam family "Bacterial large subunit ribosomal RNA", at positions 1 to 728 of the family's 2925-position model. The record is from RNAcentral. Lineage: Bacteria; Pseudomonadati; Pseudomonadota; Gammaproteobacteria; Enterobacterales; Enterobacteriaceae.